GCACAUGACAAACAUUUGUAUUGGCUAUACAGAUGUUUGCCGUGGUAUGGGUGUUUGUGCAGUCCUUGUGGGUAUCUCUACCGUCCCUCGGAAACACGUUAAGUCGUCGGUCCCGGUUGUUAUUACACCUGAUAGUGAUCGUUACUCACAUUCGGUAUUAUUUCCGCCAACUUGACUGUCAACUGUCUUGGAGCAGCGUGGUGGAUUAAGCUCUGAUCAUUUUCCUACAUGGGCAUAGAGGUCUAUGCCCAGCUGUGGGACAUAACAGGCUGAAGCAAAAAAAAAAAAUAAACUACUAAAUAUAUUGCUUUGCGCAAAAUUCGAAAAUGACUGAAUCAAAUCGA
Long non-coding RNA from Melitaea cinxia (Glanville fritillary), 344 nucleotides. RefSeq lists it as uncharacterized. The record is from RefSeq and is a predicted model, not a curated record. The transcript has 2 exons. NCBI's taxonomy places the organism in Eukaryota, Metazoa, Arthropoda, Insecta, Lepidoptera, Nymphalidae.